GACUCAACACGGGGAAACUCACCAGGUCCAGACACAAUAAGGAUUGACAGAUUGAGAGCUCUUUCUUGAUUUUGUGGGUGGUGGUGCAUGACCGUUCUUAGUUGGUGGAGUGAUUUGUCUGCUUAAUUGCGAUAACGAACGAGACCUUAACCUGCUAAAUAGCCAGGCCCGCUUUGGCGGGUCGCCGGCUUCUUAGAGGGACUAUCGGCUCAAGCCGAUGGAAGUUUGAGGCAAUAACAGGUCUGUGAUGCCCUUAGAUGUUCUGGGCCGCACGCGCGCUACACUGACAGAGCCAACGAGUUCAUUUCCUUGCCCGAAAGGUCUGGGUAAUCUUGUUAAACUCUGUCGUGCUGGGGAUAGAGCAUUGCACUUAUUGCUCUUCAACGAGGAAUGCCUAGUAAGCGCAUGUCAUCAGCAUGCGUUGAUUACGUCCCUGCCCUUUGUACACACCGCCCGUCGCUACUACCGAUUGAAUGGCUCGGUGAGGCCUUCGGACUGGCCCAGGGAGGUCGGCAACGACCACCCAGGGCCGGAAAGUUGGUCAAACCCGGUCAUUUAGAGGAAGUAAAAGUCGUAACAAGGUUU
This 585-nucleotide ribosomal RNA is filed under the name uncultured fungus. Its description in RNAcentral is "SSU rRNA". It matches the Rfam family "Eukaryotic small subunit ribosomal RNA", at positions 1197 to 1802 of the family's 1831-position model. Lineage: Eukaryota; Fungi. The record is from RNAcentral.